AUUGAACGCUGGCGGCAUGCCUUACACAUGCAAGUCGAACGGCAGCACGGGUGCUUGCACCUGGUGGCGAGUGGCGAACGGGUGAGUAAUACAUCGGAACAUGUCCUGUAGUGGGGGAUAGCCCGGCGAAAGCCGGAUUAAUACCGCAUACGAUCUACGGAUGAAAGCGGGGGACCUUCGGGCCUCGCGCUAUAGGGUUGGCCGAUGGCUGAUUAGCUAGUUGGUGGGGUAAAGGCCUACCAAGGCGACGAUCAGUAGCUGGUCUGAGAGGACGACCAGCCACACUGGGACUGAGACACGGCCCAGACUCCUACGGGAGGCAGCAGUGGGGAAUUUUGGACAAGGGGCGAAAGCCUGAUCCAGCAAUGCCGCGUGUGUGAAGAAGGCCUGCGGGUUGUAAAGCACUUUUGUCCGGAAAGAAAUCCUUGGCCCUAAUACGGUCGGGGGAUGACGGUACCGGAAGAAUAAGCACCGGCUAACUACGU
This 485-nucleotide ribosomal RNA is filed under the name uncultured bacterium. Its description in RNAcentral is "partial 16S ribosomal RNA". It matches the Rfam family "Bacterial small subunit ribosomal RNA", at positions 30 to 506 of the family's 1533-position model. The record is from RNAcentral.